This 85-nucleotide transfer RNA is filed under the name Felis catus (domestic cat). It matches the Rfam family "tRNA". Rfam says of the family: Transfer RNA (tRNA) molecules are approximately 80 nucleotides in length. Their secondary structure includes four short double-helical elements and three loops (D, anti-codon, and T loops). Lineage: Eukaryota; Metazoa; Chordata; Mammalia; Carnivora; Felidae. The record is from Rfam by way of RNAcentral.
GCCUGGGUGGCUCAGUCGGUUAAGUGUCUGACUUCGGCUCAGGUCAUGAUCUCACAGUUCGUGGGUUUGAAUCCCACAAUGGGCU